GGACUACAGGGGUAUCUAAUCCUGUUUGCUACCCACGCUUUCGCCUCUCAGCGUCAGUACUGGCCCAGAGUGCCGCCUUCGCCACAGGUGUUCCUCCUGAUAUCUAUGCAUUUCACCGCUACACCAGGAAUUCCGCACUCCCCUACCAGACUCAAGCCAUAACAGUAUCGGGUGGCGUCUCCGGGUUGAGCCCGGAGUUUUCACACCCGACUUAUCAAGCCGCCUACAGGCCCUUUACGCCCAAUAAAUCCGGACAACGCUCGGACCCUACGUGUUACCGCGGCUGCUGGCAC
Molecule: ribosomal RNA, 293 nt
Filed under: uncultured bacterium
Lineage: Bacteria
Description: partial 16S ribosomal RNA
Source: RNAcentral